AUCUAUGACCAUGCCACCCUGAGCAAGCCCGAUCCCAUCUGAUCUCGGAAGCUAAGCAGGGUCGAGCCUGGUUAGUACUUGGAUGGGAGACCACCUAGGAAGACCAAAUGUUGUAGGCG
Pteropus alecto (black flying fox) is the source of this 119-nucleotide non-coding RNA. The record is from Rfam. NCBI's taxonomy places the organism in Eukaryota, Metazoa, Chordata, Mammalia, Chiroptera, Pteropodidae.